AGAGUUUGAUCCUGGCUCAGGAUGAACGCCGGCGGUGUGCCUAAUACAUGCAAGUCGUACGCACUGGCCCAACUGAUUGAUGGUGCUUGCACCUGAUUGACGAUGGAUCACCAGUGAGUGGCGGACGGGUGAGUAACACGUAGGUAACCUGCCUCGGAGCGGGGGAUAACAUUUGGAAACAGAUGCUAAUACCGCAUAACAACAAAAGCCACAUGGCUUUUGUUUGAAAGAUGGCUUUGGCUAUCACUCUGGGAUGGACCUGCGGUGCAUUAGCUAGUUGGUAAGGUAACGGCUUACCAAGGCAAUGAUGCAUAGCCGAGUUGAGAGACUGAUCGGCCACAAUGGAACUGAGACACGGUCCAUACUCCUACGGGAGGCAGCAGUAGGGAAUCUUCCACAAUGGGCGCAAGCCUGAUGGAGCAACACCGCGUGAGUGAAGAAGGGUUUCGGCUCGUAAAGCUCUGUUGUUGGAGAAGAACGUGCGUGAGAGUAACUGUUCACGCAGUGACGGUAUCCAACCAGAAAGUCACGGCUAACUACGUGCCAGCAGCCGCGGUAAUACGUAGGUGGCAAGCGUUAUCCGGAUUUAUUGGGCGUAAAGCGAGCGCAGGCGGUUGCUUAGGUCUGAUGUGAAAGCCUUCGGCUUAACCGAAGAAGUGCAUCGGAAACCGGGCGACUUGAGUGCAGAAGAGGACAGUGGAACUCCAUGUGUAGCGGUGGAAUGCGUAGAUAUAUGGAAGAACACCAGUGGCGAAGGCGGCUGUCUGGUCUGCAACUGACGCUGAGGCUCGAAAGCAUGGGUAGCGAACAGGAUUAGAUACCCUGGUAGUCCAUGCCGUAAACGAUG
RNAcentral lists this ribosomal RNA (847 nucleotides) under uncultured bacterium. RNAcentral's name for it is "bacterial SSU rRNA". It matches the Rfam family "Bacterial small subunit ribosomal RNA", at positions 8 to 811 of the family's 1533-position model. The record is from RNAcentral.